GUUGAAGUGUAAGGUUCGUUGAAUUUUCCCCCGAAUGGUUAGACAAAAUCGUUGGUAGCUCCAGGAAAAUUCUCAAGAAAAUUGGUUAAGGACAGAAAACCAUUGUGGCUCCAGCAGCGGAAAAUAUUCAAUACAUAUGAACAAAGAAUGUACUGACAAUUGUGUGGAGAUUUUUUUUUUGGAAGAAAGAACUCACAUUUUUAUACAAAAUAAAAAGUGUAUAAAAGCAACACUAGCAUUGCAAAGCAAAUAAAUAUAAUUAAGAAAAAAAAUAAACAAAACAAAUCAAGUUAUAAGUAGGCGUAACACGCACACCACUGCCUCUCCCAACAACAACAAACAACAGAAACUAAAAAAAA
Long non-coding RNA from Rhagoletis zephyria (snowberry fruit fly), 359 nucleotides. RefSeq lists it as uncharacterized. Lineage: Eukaryota; Metazoa; Arthropoda; Insecta; Diptera; Tephritidae. The record is from RefSeq and is a predicted model, not a curated record.